CAACUUUCAGCAGUGGAUGUCUAGGCUCGCACAUCGAUGAAGAACGCUGCGAACUGCGAUACGUAAUGCGAAUUGCAGGAUUCAGUGAGUCAUCGAAAUUUUGAACGCAUAUUGCACUUC
This 120-nucleotide ribosomal RNA is filed under the name Phytophthora irrigata. RNAcentral's name for it is "5.8S ribosomal RNA". It matches the Rfam family "5.8S ribosomal RNA", at positions 1 to 119 of the family's 154-position model. Rfam says of the family: 5.8S ribosomal RNA (5.8S rRNA) is a component of the large subunit of the eukaryotic ribosome. It is transcribed by RNA polymerase I as part of the 45S precursor that also contains 18S and 28S rRNA. Functionally, it is thought that 5.8S rRNA may be involved in ribosome translocation. The record is from RNAcentral. Lineage: Eukaryota; Oomycota; Peronosporomycetes; Peronosporales; Peronosporaceae.